UGGGGAAUAUUGGACAAUGGGGGCAACCCUGAUCCAGCCAUGCCGCGUGAGUGAUGACGGUCUUAGGAUUGUAAAGCUCUUUCAGUGGGGACGAUAAUGACGGUACCCACAGAAGAAGCCCCGGCUAACUUCGUGCCAGCAGCCGCGGUAAUACGAAGGGGGCUAGCGUUGUUCGGAAUUACUGGGCGUAAAGCGCACGUAGGCGGAUCAGCCAGUCAGGGGUGAAAUCCCAGGGCUCAACCCUGGAACGGCCUCUGAUACUGUUGAUCUAGAGUGUGAGAGAGGUGAGUGGAAUUGCGAGUGUAGAGGUGAAAUUCGUAGAUAUUCGCAGGAACACCAGUGGCGAAGGCGGCUCACUGGCUCACAACUGACGCUGAGGUGCGAAAGCGUGGGGAGCAAACAGG
Molecule: ribosomal RNA, 404 nt
Filed under: uncultured bacterium
Lineage: Bacteria
Description: bacterial SSU rRNA
Rfam family: Bacterial small subunit ribosomal RNA
Source: RNAcentral